Molecule: long non-coding RNA, 1099 nt
Filed under: Chrysemys picta bellii (western painted turtle)
Lineage: Eukaryota; Metazoa; Chordata; Testudines; Emydidae
Description: lncRNA (ENSCPBG00000028087.1)
Source: RNAcentral
NNNNNNNNNNNNNNNNNNNNNNNNNNNNNNNNNNNNNNNNNNNNNNNNNNNNAAAGUAAAAAUCUUAAGCGAAUCCACAUGUUCCAUAGAAUCUCUAUGGAUAGAAAUGUCAUGCUCUAAUAAGAAUAUAACAUUAGCGAUCUAUUAUCUACCACCUGACCAGGACGGUGAUAGUGACGAUGAUAUGCUAAGGGAAAUUAGAGAGGCUAUCAAAAUUAAGAACUCAAUAAUAGUGGGGGAUUUCAAUUAUCCCCAUAUUGACUGGGAACAUUUCACUUCAGGACGAAAUGCAGAGAUAAAAUUUCUCAAUACUUUAAAUGACUGCUUCAUGGAGCAGCUGGUACGGGAAUCCACAAGGGGAGAGGCAACUCUAGAUUUAGUCCUGAGUGGAGCGCAGGAGCUGGUCCAAGAGGUAACUAUAGCAGGACCGCUUGGAAAUAGUGACCAUAAUACAAUAGCAUUCAACAUCCCUGUGGUGGGAAGAACAUCUCAACAGCCCAACACUGUGGUAUUUAAUUUCAAAAGGGACAACUAUGCAAAAAUGAGGGGGUUAGUUAAACAGAAGUUAAAAGGUACAGUGACUAAAGUGAAAUCCCUGCAAGCUGCAUGGGCGCUUUUUAAAGACACCAUAAUAGAGGCUCAACUUCAAUGUAUACCCCAAAUUAAGAAACACAGUAAAAGAACUAAAAAAGAGCCACCGUGGCUUAACAACCAUGUAAAAGAAGCAGUGAGAGAUAAAAAGACUUCCUUUAAAAAGUGGAAGUCAAAUCCUAGUGAAACAAAUAGAAAGGAGCAUAAACACUGCCAAAUUCAGUGCAAGAAUGUAAUACGAAAAGCCAAAGAGGAGUUUGAAGAACGGCUAGCCAAAAACUCCAAAGGUAAUAACAAAAUGUUUUUUAAGUACAUCAGAAGCAGGAAGCCUGCUAAACAACCAGUGGGGCCCCUUGAUGAUCGAGAUACAAAAGGAGCGCUUAAAGACGAUAAAGUCAUUGCGGAGAAACUAAAUGGAUUCUUUGCUUCAGUCUUCACGGCUGAGGAUGUUAGGGAGAUUCCCAAACCUGAGCUGGCUUUUGUAGGUGAUAAAUCUGAGGAACUGUCA